This is a long non-coding RNA of Gallus gallus (chicken), 1676 nucleotides long. RefSeq lists it as uncharacterized. The record is from RefSeq and is a predicted model, not a curated record. Lineage: Eukaryota; Metazoa; Chordata; Aves; Galliformes; Phasianidae. The transcript is spliced from 3 exons.
ACUGUAACAGUUGCUUUCAGAGAAUCUGGCUUCAAAUGCAGUUCCCUAUGCUGGCAUAGAGAGCGGCUUUACUCGCCUUCUAGGAAAAGCCCCUGGCACUCUUACUGUUUCUACCUUACUUUUGUUUAAGGAACCAUUGAUAUAUCUCCUAUUUCUAUGAAAAAAGACACCUCAGUACUUAAACCAACGGCAAAGCUUCCUACUGAAGCCAAGGGACUCAGAGAGAACUUCACAGAACGCAGGGGACAACCAAUGCUCACACAGAACAGCACUUUUCAUCUUCCAGCUGUAAAAAAAACAAUUUGAUUUCUCCGAGUACUAUUAAGAUCAGUAACAACAUCCAGUGCUCAAACUGCAAAUACAUCACAAGCCACAACUAUGGGCAGAUCUGAGGCCUCUUACCAGUUCCACAGAGUUCCGCAGCACAUCCACAUCCCCGCGCUGAGCUCUCACCCAGCGGGCUGCCCUGUGCGCGCACUUACACCUCAUUCCAACAGCAGAAACUGACAGAAAUCCGACAGACAAUGGCUUUCGGCUAACAGCAAAAGCACGGGAGGACAUUUGAAGUUCAUCUCCCGAGAUUUAACUCGGUCUACAUUGUAGGCUCUGCUGGGUACCGCUGUCAGCAGAUUUUAGCACCGUUUUAACCUUCUCUGGCUCCGAAGAGGCCCGGCCACACACCCGAGAUAAAUGACGCUGCACGCGAACUCCGAGCGAGAAAACCGAACGCCGGCGGCGGUGCUGAAUCACGGUAGGCAGCCGCUCCGCUGCCUUUCCCCGGGGACGGCGGCGAGGACCGCGCGCAGCGGGGGCAAGGAUAGGCUGCGGGCCGGGAGCGGCGGUUCAACGGCCGCCGCUGCCGGGAGGAGACGCGGACGACCGCCCCGCGCUGCCCCACCGUUACCUGCCAGGCGGGGGCACGGCGCUCGGCGGUCCUCCCAGAGAGCGCCGCGUGCGGUGCGGAGCGAGCGGCGCCUCACGGGCGGUGCAGCGGAACCCUCCCGGGAUGCGGCGUCCACCCCGACACCCGGCGAGCUGGGCACUAGCGGGAGGAGGAGCGGGAGGGUACGGCUGGGAGGCCGGGAGAAACCAUUCCCCGCGAGGGGGCAACGCCUGGAGCGGCCGGGCGGGGCGAGGAGCAGCGGCCCUCCACACGCAGGUACGUGCGGGGCGGACGGCGAGGCGCGGCGAGGUGCCCGCAGCGGGGCGGGCGGCGCAGGGCCGGGUCGAAGCCCGCAGAGCGCCGCCCCCCUCCCCCGCGGCUCGCAGUGGAGCGGCCCGCGAUCCGGCCGGGGCCGCGAGCAGAACGGAGCAACGGCAGCGGCGUUCCAGAAGGCGGAACGCUCGGCUCUCUGCACCGCGGCAAUCCGGGCAGCUGCGCUGAUUUCCAGCAGUUGUCAGACAUCUAUUUUUUUUCCUACCCACUUGGCCUCGUAACCCGUGCGUGUGGAGCGGCAGUAGGCCGCUCCGAAAGAGUCAGUCAUUUUCUAAAACGUGCAUCCUAGCAUAAGACACAUGACCUAGGGAGAUUAUUAAUAGUAAAUAACAUGGAGAGGCAUUCAUCACACAAGGAUUUUGAAGAAUAUCGUCUUUAACAGCCAGCAACAAAGAAAGCUGACAAUAAAUAGAAAUUUGCAAAGACGAUGCACAGCAAGUAAAGAUGGUUGAAAAUGUAA